AACUUUCAUUUGCUUUCCUAAUACAAAUUCGUAUUUCUUAGUAGCUCUUAUCUUUCUCUUUACAUUUCUUGGUUUUUCUGGGUUCUUCAAUCUUUCACUUUCACAAGAGAUUUAAUUUUUGCAAAUUAUCAUAGAUCACUCAUAAUGGUUAAUAGAAUUCAGAUUUGGAGCAAAAAUAUUCAACACUUCGAUGAUGCUAUUUUGGACAAAAUUUCCAAGUGAUGUAUAGAUUUUCAAGUUUGUCACCAGAAAUUUUUAAGCGUGUCAAGCAGAUGAUCAGGCUUAGUUCUCAGAACAGGAGAUCCAUUUGAUGAACCACUCAUCUUCUAUAGUAAUACCAAUCAAGCUCAAGCAUUUGAGAUUUGAGCAAAAAGAAAGGCGAUAUAAAAAGUUCAGAGUUGUUGUCUGGUGAUCCGAGAUCUUGGGCACUUGAAUCUUCAGGAUCUUUUUGGUAGCUUGACAUGUACUGGAAGUAAAGAGCUCAAGGGGCUUCUUGCUAAUUCAGCAGUCUGUUUUAUGGGUAUGGGAAUGAAAUCAAAACUCAGUCACCUAGAAGGGAAUAGAUCAAAUGGCGAGAUUUGCAGGACAGGUGCAGAGUUGAGCUAUUUGGCUGCUAGGAUUUUGAACAAACCCAAUGUGCAAAAUUAUGGAUCAGCUGUUGGGCAUGCUUGCUUGAAAUUCAGCACUGGAUUUAGGGUUACCUACCAUACAUGAUGAUAGUAUGUAUGGGAUUUUAUGUUUCUAUGCUUUUGGUUUGGUAAUGACAUUGUACUAGUUAAAUUACGCAGUUACUUUAUUUUACGUCGUGGUCCAUCUUAAUUCCUUCUUAUUUUGAAGUUUGAAAAACGUGUUUACAAGA
Molecule: non-coding RNA, 859 nt
Organism: Malus domestica (apple)
Lineage: Eukaryota; Viridiplantae; Streptophyta; Magnoliopsida; Rosales; Rosaceae
Source: RefSeq, a predicted model, not a curated record